Molecule: unclassified non-coding RNA, 614 nt
Filed under: Aspergillus alabamensis
Lineage: Eukaryota; Fungi; Ascomycota; Eurotiomycetes; Eurotiales; Aspergillaceae
Description: sequence contains 18S rRNA gene, ITS1, 5.8S rRNA gene, ITS2, 28S rRNA gene
Rfam family: 5.8S ribosomal RNA (bases 232-385)
Source: RNAcentral
UCGUAACAAGGUUUCCGUAGGUGAACCUGCGGAAGGAUCAUUACCGAGUGCGGGUCUUUAUGGCCCAACCUCCCACCCGUGACUAUUGUACCUUGUUGCUUCGGCGGGCCCGCCAGCGUUGCUGGCCGCCGGGGGGCGACUCGCCCCCGGGCCCGUGCCCGCCGGAGACCCCAACAUGAACCCUGUUCUGAAAGCUUGCAGUCUGAGUUGUGAUUCUUUGCAAUCAGUUAAAACUUUCAACAAUGGAUCUCUUGGUUCCGGCAUCGAUGAAGAACGCAGCGAAAUGCGAUAACUAAUGUGAAUUGCAGAAUUCAGUGAAUCAUCGAGUCUUUGAACGCACAUUGCGCCCCCUGGUAUUCCGGGGGGCAUGCCUGUCCGAGCGUCAUUGCUGCCCUCAAGCCCGGCUUGUGUGUUGGGCCCUCGUCCCCCGGCUCCCGGGGGACGGGCCCGAAAGGCAGCGGCGGCACCGCGUCCGGUCCUCGAGCGUAUGGGGCUUCGUCUUCCGCUCCGUAGGCCCGGCCGGCGCCCGCCGACGCAUUUUUUUGCAACUUGUUUUUUUCCAGGUUGACCUCGGAUCAGGUAGGGAUACCCGCUGAACUUAAGCAUAUCAAUAA